CCCCCAUCCAACCUGACAGAGCUUGAGAGGACCUGCAGAGAAGAAUGAGAGAAACUCCCCAAAUACAGGUGUGCCAGGCUUGUAGCGUCAUACCCGACUUGAGGCUGUAAUCGCUGCCAAAUAUUCAGAGUAAAGGGUCUGAAUGCUUAUGUAAAUUUGAUAUUGCUGUUUUUUAUUUGUAAUGAAUUUGCAAAACAUUCUUAAAACCAGUUUUUGCUUCGUCAUUAUGGGGUAUUGUGUGUAGAUUGAUGAAGGAAAAAAAACGAUUUAAUCCAUUUUAGAAUAAGGCUGUAAAGUAACAAACACUGUAUUUGUGUUUCUCAUACACACUUUUACCUCCUCUCAGUAACAGUGGUGAAGUGUCAAUGGAUAGCCAGGCUGAGAUGGACUCUGACCAGCCGUCAGACGAUGCCAGUCUUUCUUCCACAAGCCAGGAGCCCACCUCCAGCUCGGCCGCAGUGUCAAGCCCAAGCCCUCCGGCCGCCCCAUAGCCCAGCACUCUCUGCCCAUGACGACAGCAGGCAGCCGUCUCCCCAGAGGAGAUGAGCGUUCAUCCCCAUUGAUUCCUCUUCCUUUUGAAGCCACUUUUAACCCAGAACAACAUGGUAUGAGUCCAUUCAACUAAAGCAGUGGCAUUGCCACCGUACUCUUACCUUUGUUUAACUAGGCAUGUUAAAAACAUUUUUUUUUUAGCUUUGUUUAACUAGGCAAGUCAGUUAAGAACAAAUUCUUAUUUUCAAUGACGGCCUAGGAACAGUGAGUUCCCUGUUCAGGGGCAGAACGGCAGAUUUGUACCUUGUCAGCUCUGGGAUUUGAACUUGCAACCUUUCAACUGCUAGUCCAACGCUCCAACCACUAGGCUACCCUGCUGCCCUCUUACGUCAUAGAAACACACGGCACAACAAAGUAGAUGAGAAGCUUUUUUUUUUAUUAGUCUGAUAAAGCCAGAGAAAGUAAGCGACACAAAGGACACAUUGUAUACUUUUGUUUGGCAUGUCGGAUUACAUGUGACACAAGGAUGGUUGGAGCAGGGUUGCGGUCAUGCAAGAGAUAUUUAAACCCCCCUGGUGUGGUCUUAACGUGAUGUCUUGUCAAACGUUUUAGCUGAUGUUUGAGUUCAGAGAGGUAGCUAUUUCAAUGCACAUCAAAACAACAUUCAAAGAAGCUCUAGUGAGCCGAGCUUAAGAAACACAAUGGAGAGUUAUAAACUUCUUGAAGUGGCAAUUUUGGAUGAUGUCUAAUGGCUCUUCUCUUCUCACCCCUUCCAUUCAAGGUAUGGGCUUGAAGACUCCCUUUCGGUAGAGGAAACCUACCCCGCUAAUGAUGUCAUCAUGGACUGCUCCAUUCCCUUACUCCCAAGUCUCAAUCAUAGUGUCUUAGUCUAAUAAAAUAAAUCCUACCAAUUUGUGAUCGUAAGAGAGAGAGAGAGCAAUGGUUAGAUUCUUUCUUCCCAAUUUUGUAUCAGCAGAUACCAUGUGCUUUAAAAGUGUACAUUUUUAUUAAUUUAUUUUCAAGAAGAAUAAUUGUUCU
This 1530-nucleotide long non-coding RNA is filed under the name Oncorhynchus mykiss (rainbow trout). RNAcentral describes it as "lncRNA (ENSOMYG00000049184.1)". Lineage: Eukaryota; Metazoa; Chordata; Actinopteri; Salmoniformes; Salmonidae. The record is from RNAcentral.